GCCUAAUUUAAAUGCAAUACCUGUUGAUGUGUUAUGUUUACUGGCCAUUGAGAUAAUGUUAGUGGCAGCACUGAGUGGGGCUCAUGAAAAUUAUGCAACUUAUAAGUGCGUCCACCUCAAAAAUAAAUGGCUCAGCAAUACUACACUGGAAAUUUCGCCAAGGGAAUAGCAGCCCAACUAAAAGAGUGAGAGCUGAGCAGCCAAAGAGAAAAUAAGUGGGUCCAUGGCUCUCUGUUUCUUUCUCUGCCCAUGCCUCUCAUAUGGUGUGGUCACUGCGCUGCUGUGUUUGUAGAUUUUCCCUUGUACUGUAAUGAAGUAUGGCUCUCAGUGAGGAGUUGGCUCUAUGAGUCGAAACAUUUGUGACUGACCCAUUGCUAUAAAGCACAGAUAUACAAAUAGUUUUUAUCAUGAUUUGUGAAGGUGAGUAAUGGAUCAAGGUAGAAACAGGAGUGGAAGUUGCAACAAUGGUUUCAUUAAACUCUAAGUCAGGGGUGCAACUUUUAGAUGUAUCUCUACUUCAACACACCUGAGUCAAAUAAUGAGGUCAUUAGCAGGACUCUGGAGAACUUGACUGCACUUAGGAGGUGAUUCAACUAUUGGAUUCAAGUGUGUUGGAUCAGGGAGACAUCUAAGAGUUGCAGGACACCGGCCCUUGAGGACCAGGAUUGCCCAUCCCUGCUCUAAAUGCUACAGGAUUCAAAGUCACAAGAGGAAGAGGAAGAAGGAGUAGAGACAGGGAGACAAUGUAAGAUCCAGGGAAAAACAAUGACACAUGAGAGACUCUAUACACACCGGGGCAAUCAAGGAAAUGACAAACAGUUGGAACCAAUUACCAGAGAAACAAUAACAAAAAAGUUCAAGGUCAGUCUGGUGGCCUGAUGUGCAGCUGGUGGAAACCACAAAGAGAAUGUAUCAGUCGGCCAUGCGGCCGGGGGCACCCAUGGAGAACCCAUGCAGGAGGCCGGCGGCAUUGAUGCAGGAAGCUACUGGAAGACUUGGGAACACUGGAAGGUUCGGAAAGAGCUGGAACACUUGGUGGAUCACUGGAAAAAACAGAACCAUGACAGUUCUGACAUUUGAGACAGGAUUCCAGAAUUUAAAAAUGUAUUAAAUUCUAGGUUAAAAAUACUUUUUAUUAAAAAAAAAAAAUUCCUCCUGCACUGAAAAAAGUAAAUAGUUGAACCAACUUAAUUGAAUUGUUUCAAUUGGCAACAAGUAAUUCAAUUAAGUUUAUACAACUUAAUUCAUUAAUUUGGUUUAACGUGACAAAUUUAAGUCAGUCUUAUGAAAAUAACUUAGUUUACUUCAAAUAAAGAAGUAAACUAAUAAAAUAUCUUUAUUAAAAAAAAGGUGGGGGGCGUGAAAGAGGUUCUCAGGCAGCCUUUAUUUGAGACUAGUUAGACAGAAACAUGGAUAAUGAAAGAGUGGGAACACAUGCAGCAAAGGUAUUCAGGCCAGGAAUUGAACCUGUGACGGCCACAUCGAGGACUAAGUCCUCCUUAUGUGAGUUGUGUUCUCUCAGCAAAUUAGAUGGGCUGUAGACAAAUAAGAAAAUGAAUGCCUGAAGGGGCCAAAUGGAGGUUUGGGCUCAGUCAGUUUUAAAUUUUACCCAUUCUCUAAUUCUUGGCCGUGACAUAUGUAAUGUGCCAGUUCGACGCACUAAAGCUUACCGGAAAUUGCCUGCACUGUAAACAACCAAGUGAGAAGCUCAGUCAUCGGGGACGGACACAAAGUAGAGCAGCUGCUCCUUCAUGUCAAGAGGAGUGAGUUGAGGUGGCUUGGGCAUCUGGUUAGGACGCCUCCCUGGUGAGGUGUUCCAGGCGCAUCCCAUCGGGAAGAGGCCCCACGGAAGACCCAGGACCGGAGGGACUACGUUUCUCGGCUGGCCUGGGAACACCUUAGGAUUAGGUUUUUAAAUAAACUGAACUGAUUUGAAAAGCACCAUGAGAAGUUAACUAAAACAUGAACUACUAAAGUCUGAACAUUGGAAGAAUAUAAUGGACAAAAAUUUGCUCCUCAGAAUAAACUGCCUUUUUCUUUUAUGAAUAAGCCAUGGCUCUACUUUAAAAAGUGA
Long non-coding RNA from Xiphophorus couchianus (Monterrey platyfish), 2074 nucleotides. RefSeq lists it as uncharacterized. The record is from RefSeq and is a predicted model, not a curated record. Lineage: Eukaryota; Metazoa; Chordata; Actinopteri; Cyprinodontiformes; Poeciliidae. The transcript is spliced from 2 exons.